AACGAACGCUGGCGGCAUGCCUAACACAUGCAAGUCGAACGAGACCUUCGGGUCUAGUGGCGCACGGGUGCGUAACGCGUGGGAACCUGCCCUCAGGUUCGGCAUAACUCUCCGACUGGGGUGCUAAUACCGGAUAAUGUCUUAGGACCAAAGAUUUAUCGCCCUUGGAUGGGCUCGCGUUGGAUUAGCUAGUUGGUAGGGUAAAAGCAUACCAAGGCGACGAUCCAUAGCUGGUCUGAGAGGCUGAUCAGCCACACUGGGACUGAGACACGGCCCAGACUCCUACGGGAGGGAGCAGUGGGGAAUAUUGGACGAUGGGCGAAGGCCUGAUCCAGCAAUGCCGCGUAAGUGAUGAAGGCCUUAGGGUUGUAAAGCUCUUUUACCCGGGAUGAUAAUGACAGUACCGGGAGAAUAAGCUCCGGCUAACUCCGUG
RNAcentral lists this ribosomal RNA (433 nucleotides) under uncultured bacterium. Its description in RNAcentral is "partial 16S ribosomal RNA". It matches the Rfam family "Bacterial small subunit ribosomal RNA", at positions 29 to 507 of the family's 1533-position model. The record is from RNAcentral.